AUUGAACGCUAACGGCGUGCUUAACACAUGCAAGUCGAGCGGCAGCAUGGCUGUAGCAAUACAGUUGAUGGCGAGCGGCGGACGGGUGAGUAAUGCAUAGGAAUCUGCCUUGUAGUGGGGGAUAACCCGGGGAAACUCGGGCUAAUACCGCAUAAUCUCUACGGAGCAAAGUGGGGGACCUUCGGGCCCUACGCUAAAAGAUGAGCUCAUGUUGGAUUAGCUAGUUGGUAGGGUAAAGGCCUAUCAAGGCAACGAUCCAUAGCUGGUCUGAGAGGAUGAUCAGCCACACUGGGACUGAGACACGGCCCAGACUCCUACGGGAGGCAGCAGUGGGGAAUAUUGGACAAUGGGCGAAAGCCUGAUCCAGCAACGCCGUGUGUGUGAAGAAGGCCUUCGGGUUGUAAAGCACUUUUAGUGGGGAAGAAAAGUUCAUGGCUAAUAUCCAUGAAUGCUGACGUUACCCACAGAAAAAGCACUGGCUAACUCUGUGCCAGCCGCCGCGGUAA
This 506-nucleotide ribosomal RNA is filed under the name uncultured bacterium. RNAcentral's name for it is "partial 16S ribosomal RNA". It matches the Rfam family "Bacterial small subunit ribosomal RNA", at positions 30 to 523 of the family's 1533-position model. The record is from RNAcentral.